RNAcentral lists this ribosomal RNA (501 nucleotides) under uncultured bacterium. Its description in RNAcentral is "bacterial SSU rRNA". It matches the Rfam family "Bacterial small subunit ribosomal RNA", at positions 465 to 960 of the family's 1533-position model. The record is from RNAcentral.
GUGGAUGACGGUACCGGAAGAAGAAGCACCGGCUACUACGUGCCAGCAGCCGCGGUAAGUACGUAGGGUGCGAGCGUUAAUCGGAAUUACUGGGCGUAAAGCGUGCGCAGGCGGGUUUUGUAAGACAGAUGUGAAAUCCCCGGGGCUUAACCUGGGAACUGCAUUUGUAACUGCAAGGCUAGAGUACGGCAGAGGGGGGGUAGAAUUCCACGUGUAGCAGUGAAAUGCGUAGAUAUGUGGAGGAAUACCGAUGGCGAAGGCAGCCCCCCUGGGUCGAUACUGACGCUCAUGCACGAAAGCGUGGGGAGCAAACAGGAUUAGAUACCCUGGUAGUCCACGCCCUAAACGAUGUCAACUAGGUGUUGGGGGAGGAGACUUCCUUAGUACCGCAGCUAACGCGUGAAGUUGACCGCCUGGGGAGUACGGUCGCAAGAUUAAAACUCAAAGGAAUUGACGGGGACCCGCACAAGCGGUGGAUUAUGUGGAUUAAUUCGAUGCAAC